This 121-nucleotide small nuclear RNA is filed under the name Setaria italica (foxtail millet). RNAcentral describes it as "snRNA U5". It matches the Rfam family "U5 spliceosomal RNA". Rfam says of the family: U5 RNA is a component of both types of known spliceosome. The precise function of this molecule is unknown, though it is known that the 5' loop is required for splice site selection and p220 binding, and that both the 3' stem-loop and the Sm site are important for Sm protein binding and cap methylation. Lineage: Eukaryota; Viridiplantae; Streptophyta; Magnoliopsida; Poales; Poaceae. The record is from Rfam by way of RNAcentral.
AGCUGCGCAGUGGGCACAGAGCGAACUAUUCUUUCGCCUUUUACUAAAGAAUACCGUGUGCCCGCUGCAAUAAGCAGCAUACGCCUAUUUUUUUAGGGAUCCAUCUUCUUGUGAGAAGGAU